RNAcentral lists this ribosomal RNA (518 nucleotides) under Tropidoderus childrenii (Children's stick insect). RNAcentral describes it as "partial 16S ribosomal RNA". It matches the Rfam family "Bacterial large subunit ribosomal RNA", at positions 1810 to 2600 of the family's 2925-position model. Lineage: Eukaryota; Metazoa; Arthropoda; Insecta; Phasmatodea; Phasmatidae. The record is from RNAcentral.
AAAACAUCUUCUCUUGAUUUUAAUUUGAGAUUUGACCUGCCCAAUGAUUAUUUUAAUGGCCGCAGUAUUCUGACUGUGCAAAGGUAGCAUAAUCAUUAGUCUAUUAAUUGUGGGCUUGUAUGAAUGGUUGGACGAAAUAUUAUCUGUCUAUUUAUUGAAUAUUAGAAUUUAAAUUUUAAGUUAAAAUGCUUAAAUUUUUUUAUAGGACGAGAAGACCCUAUAGAUCUUUAUUUAUUUAUUUAUAAUUUUUGUUUAGUUUUAAAGAUUUUAAUUAUAAGUAUUUAUUUUUUGUUGGGGUGACAUGGAGAAUUAAUUAACUCUUUAUUUUAUUUUACAUUUAUUUUUGUAUAAUUGACCUUUUAUUAUUGUUAUAAGAUUUAGAUACCUUAGGGAUAACAGCGUAAUUCUUUUUGAGAGUUCAAAUCGACAAGGGAGAUUGCGACCUCGAUGUUGGAUUAAGAUUAUAGUUAGGUGUAGAUGUUUAACUAUUAGGUCUGUUCGACCUUUAAAUUCUUACA